Molecule: ribosomal RNA, 440 nt
Filed under: uncultured bacterium
Lineage: Bacteria
Description: partial 16S ribosomal RNA
Rfam family: Bacterial small subunit ribosomal RNA
Source: RNAcentral
CCUACGGGUGGCAGCAGUGAGGAAUAUUGGUCAAUGGACGCAAGUCUGAACCAGCCAUGCCGCGUGGAGGAUGAAGGUUUUAGGAUUGUAAACUCCUUUUGUGAGAGAAGAUAAUGACGGUAUCUCACGAAUAAGCACCGGCUAACUCCGUGCCAGCAGCCGCGGUAAUACGUAGGGGGCAAGCGUUAUCCGGAUUUACUGGGUGUAAAGGGAGCGUAGACGGCGGGGCAAGUCUGGAGUGAAAGGCCGGGGCCCAACCCCGGGACCGCUCUGGAAACUGCCCGGCUGGAGUGCGGGAGAGGUAAGCGGAAUUCCUAGUGUAGCGGUGAAAUGCGUAGAUAUUAGGAGGAACACCAGCGGCGAAGGCGGCUUACUGGACCGUGACUGACGUUGGGGCUCGAAAGCGUGGGGAGCAAACAGGAUUAGAUACCCUAGUAGUC